RNAcentral lists this ribosomal RNA (305 nucleotides) under uncultured bacterium. RNAcentral describes it as "bacterial SSU rRNA". It matches the Rfam family "Bacterial small subunit ribosomal RNA", at positions 337 to 635 of the family's 1533-position model. The record is from RNAcentral.
UCCUACGGGGGGCAGCAGUAGGGAAUUUUCGUCAAUGGGCGCAAGCCUGAACGAGCAAUGCCGCGUGAACGAGGAAGGUCUUCUGAUCGUAAGGUUCUGUUGAAGGGGAAAAAGAGCGGAGAGAGGAAAUGGUCUCCGAUUGAUAUUACCCUUCGAGGAAGUCACGGCUAACUACGUGCCAGCAGCCGCGGUAAUACGUAGGUGGCGAGCGUUAUCCGGAAUGAUUGGGCGUAAAGGGUGCGUAGGCGGCCUGCUAAGUCUGGAGUGAAAGGUACCGGCUCAACCGGUACAGGCUCUGGAAACUG